Molecule: ribosomal RNA, 429 nt
Filed under: uncultured bacterium
Lineage: Bacteria
Description: bacterial SSU rRNA
Rfam family: Bacterial small subunit ribosomal RNA
Source: RNAcentral
GCGAACGCUGGCGGCAGGCCUAACACAUGCAAGUCGAGCGCCCCGCAAGGGGAGCGGCAGACGGGAGAGUAACACGUGGGAACAUGCCCUUCAGUACGGAACAACCAAGGGAAACUUUGGCUAAUACCGUAUACGCCCGUAAGGGGAAAGAUUUAUCGCUGAAGGAUUGGCCCGCGUCUGAUUAGCUAGUUGGUGGGGUAAUGGCCCACCAAGGCGACGAUCAGUAGCUGGUCUGAGAGGAUGAUCAGCCUCACUGGGACUGAGACACGGCCCAGACUCCUACGGGAGGCAGCAGUGGGGAAUAUUGGACAAUGGGCGCAAGCCUGAUCCAGCCAUGCCGCGUGAGUGAUGAAGGCCUUAGGGUUGUAAAGCUCUUUCGUCAGGGAAGAUAAUGACGGUACCUGAAGAAGAAGCCCCGGCUAACUUCGU